GAUGAACGCUGGCGGCGUGCCUAAUACAUGCAAGUCGAACGCUUUGUGGUUCAACUGAUUUGAAGAGCUUGCUCAGAUAUGACGAUGGACAUUGCAAAGAGUGGCGAACGGGUGAGUAACACGUGGGAAACCUACCUCUUAGCAGGGGAUAACAUUUGGAAACAGAUGCUAAUACCGUAUAACAAUGACAACCGCAUGGUUGUUAUUUAAAAGAUAGUUCUGCUAUCACUAAGAGAUGGUCCCGCGGUGCAUUAGCUAGUUGGUAAGGUAAUGGCUUACCAAGGCGAUGAUGCAUAGCCGAGUUGAGAGACUGAUCGGCCACAAUGGGACUGAGACACGGCCCAUACUCCUACGGGAGGCAGCAGUAGGGAAUCUUCCACAAUGGGCGAAAGCCUGAUGGAGCAACGCCGCGUGUGUGAUGAAGGGUUUCGGCUCGUAAAACACUGUUGUAAGAGAAGAAUGACAUUGAGAGUAACUGUUCAAUGUGUGACGGUAUCUUACCAAAAAGGAACGGCUAAAUACGUGCCAGCAGCCGCGGUAAUACGUAUGUUCCAAGCGUUAUCCGGAUUUAUUGGGCGUAAAGCGAGCGCAGACGGUUAUUUAAGUCUGAAGUGAAAGCCCUCAGCUCAACUGAGGAAUUGCUUUGGAAACUGGAUGACUUGAGUGCAGUAGAGGAAAGUGGAACUCCAUGUGUAGCGGUGAAAUGCGUAGAUAUAUGGAAGAACACCAGUGGCGAAGGCGGCUUUCUGGACUGUAACUGACGUUGAGGCUCGAAAGUGUGGGUAGCAAACAGGAUUAGAUACCCUGGUAGUCCACACCGUAAACGAUGAGUGCUAGGUGUUUGAGGGUUUCCGCCCUUAAGUGCCGCAGCUAACGCAUUAAGCACUCCGCCUGGGGAGUACGACCGCAAGGUUGAAACUCAAAGGAAUUGACGGGGACCCGCACAAGCGGUGGAGCAUGUGGUUAAUUCGAAGCAACGCGAAGAACCUUACCAGGUCUUGACAUCCCUUGACAACUCCAGAGAUGGAGCGUUCCCUUCGGGGACAAGGUGACAGGUGGUGCAUGGUUGUCGUCAGCUCGUGUCGUGAGAUGUUGGGUUAAGUCCCGCAACGAGCGCAACCCUUAUUACUAGUUGCCAGCAUUCAGUUGGGCACUCUAGUGAGACUGCCGGUGACAAACCGGAGGAAGGUGGGGAUGACGUCAAAUCAUCAUGCCCCUUAUGACCUGGGCUACACACGUGCUACAAUGACGUAUACAACGAGUUGCCAACCCGCGAGGGUGAGCUAAUCUCUUAAAGUACGUCUCAGUUCGGAUUGUAGGCUGCAACUCGCCUACAUGAAGUCGGAAUCGCUAGUAAUCGCGGAUCAGCACGCCGCGGUGAAUACGUUCCCGGGUCUUGUACACACCGCCCGUCACACCAUGAGAGUUUGUAACACCCAAAGCCGGUGGGGUAACCUUCGGGAGCCAGCCGUCUAAGGUGGGACAGAUGAUUAGGGUGAAGUCGUAACAAGGUAG
RNAcentral lists this ribosomal RNA (1515 nucleotides) under uncultured Weissella sp. RNAcentral describes it as "bacterial SSU rRNA". It matches the Rfam family "Bacterial small subunit ribosomal RNA". The record is from RNAcentral. Lineage: Bacteria; Bacillati; Bacillota; Bacilli; Lactobacillales; Lactobacillaceae.